RNAcentral lists this ribosomal RNA (533 nucleotides) under Aspergillus flavus. RNAcentral's name for it is "eukaryotic LSU rRNA". The stretch from base 199 to 352 matches the Rfam family "5.8S ribosomal RNA". The record is from RNAcentral. Lineage: Eukaryota; Fungi; Ascomycota; Eurotiomycetes; Eurotiales; Aspergillaceae.
UGCGGAAGGAUCAUUACCGAGUGUAGGGUUCCUAGCGAGCCCAACCUCCCACCCGUGUUUACUGUACCUUAGUUGCUUCGGCGGGCCCGCCAUUCAUGGCCGCCGGGGGCUCUCAGCCCCGGGCCCGCGCCCGCCGGAGACACCACGAACUCUGUCUGAUCUAGUGAAGUCUGAGUUGAUUGUAUCGCAAUCAGUUAAAACUUUCAACAAUGGAUCUCUUGGUUCCGGCAUCGAUGAAGAACGCAGCGAAAUGCGAUAACUAGUGUGAAUUGCAGAAUUCCGUGAAUCAUCGAGUCUUUGAACGCACAUUGCGCCCCCUGGUAUUCCGGGGGGCAUGCCUGUCCGAGCGUCAUUGCUGCCCAUCAAGCACGGCUUGUGUGUUGGGUCGUCGUCCCCUCUCCGGGGGGGACGGGCCCCAAAGGCAGCGGCGGCACCGCGUCCGAUCCUCGAGCGUAUGGGGCUUUGUCACCCGCUCUGUAGGCCCGGCCGGCGCUUGCCGAACGCAAAUCAAUCUUUUCCAGGUGACCUCGGAU